CUUAAAAUCCAAAGGAUUUGACGGUGUCCCACCCACCUAGAGGAGCCUGUUCUAUAAUCGAUGAUCCUCGAUUUACCCCACCAUUUCUUGCUUUCAGCCUGUAUACCUCCGUCGUAAGCUUACCACCUGAGUGUAAAAAGUAAGUUUAAAGGUUUUCCACCAAUACGUCAGGUCAAGGUGCAGCUAAUGAAAUGGAAAGCAAUGGGCUACAAUUUCUAUAAUAGAACAAACGAAAUACUACAUGAAAAAUAGUCAUGAAGGCGGAUUUAGCAGUAAAAGAGGAAUAGUGUGCCCCUUUUAACAAGGCUCUGGGACGUGU
RNAcentral lists this ribosomal RNA (319 nucleotides) under Mantidactylus sp. SIH-2003. Its description in RNAcentral is "partial 12S ribosomal RNA". It matches the Rfam family "Bacterial small subunit ribosomal RNA", at positions 893 to 1384 of the family's 1533-position model. Lineage: Eukaryota; Metazoa; Chordata; Amphibia; Anura; Mantellidae. The record is from RNAcentral.